Molecule: non-coding RNA, 108 nt
Organism: Echria macrotheca
Lineage: Eukaryota; Fungi; Ascomycota; Sordariomycetes; Sordariales; Schizotheciaceae
Source: the annotation of a GenBank genome assembly
GGCAGUGUGGCCGAGCGGUCUAAGGCGCCACGUUAAGGUUCACCCUUAAUUACUAUCUUCGUGAUUCCGUGGUCCGAAAGGGCGUGAGUUCGAAUCUCACCGCUGUCA